Molecule: long non-coding RNA, 1142 nt
Filed under: Equus asinus (donkey)
Lineage: Eukaryota; Metazoa; Chordata; Mammalia; Perissodactyla; Equidae
Description: lncRNA (ENSEASG00005025443.1)
Source: RNAcentral
GAGCGAGUUCGGUACACACAGGUUACACGUGUUCGACUGAGUAAUAUAGGGGAGAAAAAAAAGAAGGAAAGAGAAUCCUUACAGGUGCCUGAAGCAGUCGAGACCAAAAAGGAAGAUUAGCCCGGAGCUAACUGCUGCCAAUCUCCCUCUUUUUACUGAGGAAGACUGGCCCUGAGCUAACAUCCGUGCCCAUCUUCCUCUACUUUAUAUGUGGGACGCCUGCCACAGCAUGGCGUGCCAAGCGGUGCCAUGUCUGCACCCAGGAUCCGAACCGGCGAACCCCGGGCCGCCAAAGUGGUAACCGCUGCGCCACCUGGCCAGCCCCUGCAAUUUCUUCUUUGACCCAGGGGUUAUAUAGGAGUUUGUUGUUUCAUUUCCACAUAUGUCCCUGAGCUAACUACUGCCAAUCCUCCUCUUUUUGCUGAGGAAGACUGGACCUGAGCUAACAUCCAUGCCCAUCUUCCUCUACUUUAUACGUGGGACGCCUACCACAGCAUGGCUUGCCAAGUGGUACCAUGUCUGCACCUGGGAUCCGAACCUGCGAACUCCAGGCCACCGAGAAGUGGAAUGUGCGAACUUAACCGCUGCACCACCAGGCCGGCCCUGACCAUAAUUUCUUCAAGUAUUCUUUCUGUACCUUUCUCUCCUCUACUCUCCUUCUAUGGUACAUUUGUAGGCAUAUCACAGGUCUGUGUGGCUCUGUUCAUUUUUCUUCGUUCUUUUUUCUUCUUCCUCAGACUGGAUAAUCUCAAUUGACCUGCCUUCAGAUUCAGUCUUUCCCUUUUCUGUCUGCUCAGAUCUGCUGUUGAGCCCUUUUAGUGAACAUUUCAUUUUAGUUAUUGCACUUUUCAACACCAGAAUUUUGAUUUAGUUUUUUAAAAAAUAAUUUACAUAUUUUUAUUGAUUUUCUCUAUUUGGUCAGACAUUAUUCUUUUUUUUUUAGAUUGGCAGCUGAGCUAACAACUGUUGCCAAUCUUCUUUUGUUUUUUUCCUUUUUCUCCCCCAAACCCCCCAGUAUAUAGUUGAGCAUUUCUAGUUGUGGGUCCCUCUAGUUGUGGCAUGUGGGGUGCCACCUCAGCAUGGCUUGAUGAGCAGUGCCAUGUCCACACCCAGGAUUCAAACCGGUGAAACCCUGGGCUGCC